This 497-nucleotide ribosomal RNA is filed under the name uncultured bacterium. Its description in RNAcentral is "partial 16S ribosomal RNA". It matches the Rfam family "Bacterial small subunit ribosomal RNA", at positions 28 to 507 of the family's 1533-position model. The record is from RNAcentral.
GAUGAACGCUGGCGGCGUGCCUAAUACAUGCAAGUCGAGCGAACGGACGAGAAGCUUGCUUCUCUGAUGUUAGCGGCGGACGGGUGAGUAACACGUGGAUAACCUACCUAUAAGACUGGGAUAACUUCGGGAAACCGGAGCUAAUACCGGAUAAUAUUUUGAACCGCAUGGUUCAAAAGUGAAAGACGGUCUUGCUGUCACUUAUAGAUGGGCCCGCGCUGCAUUAGCUAGUUGGUAAGGUAACGGCUUACCAAGGCAACGAUGCAUAGCCGACCUGAGAGGGUGAUCGGCCACACUGGGACUGAGACACGGUCCAGACUCCUACGGGAGGCAGCAGUAGGGAAUCUUCCGCGAUGGGCGAAAGCCUGACGGAGCAACGCCGCGUGAGUGAUGAAGGUCUUCGGAUCGUAAAACUCUGUUAUUAGGGAAGAACAUAUGUGUAAGUAACUGUGCACAUCUUGACGGUACCUAAUCAGAAAGCCACGGCUAACUACGUG